This 495-nucleotide ribosomal RNA is filed under the name uncultured Glomeromycotina. RNAcentral describes it as "partial small subunit ribosomal RNA". It matches the Rfam family "Eukaryotic small subunit ribosomal RNA", at positions 591 to 1092 of the family's 1831-position model. The record is from RNAcentral. Lineage: Eukaryota; Fungi; Glomeromycota.
CCAAUAGCGUAUAUUAAAGUUGUUGCAGUUAAAAAGCUCGUAGUUGAAUUUUAGGCCUGACCGGACGGUCCGUCUCUGGCGAGUACUGUUCUGCUGUCGGGUCUAUCCUUCUGGUGAGCCGGUAUGCCCUUUAUUGGGUGUGUCGGGGAACCAGGACCAUUACCUUGAAAAAAUUAGAGUGUUUAAAGCGGGCUUUUGCUUGAAUAGAUUAGCAUGGAAUAAUAGAAUAGGACGUUGGUUCUAUUUUGUUGGUCUAGGACCACCGUAAUGAUUAAUAGGGAUAGUUGGGGGCAUUAGUAUUCAAUUGUCAGAGGUGAAAUUCUUGGAUUUAUUGAAGACUAACUACUGCGAAAGCAUUUGCCAAGGAUGUUUUCAUUAACCAAGAACGAAAGUUAGGGGAUCGAAGGCGAUCAGAUACCGUCGUAGUCUUAACCAUAAACUAUGCCGACUAGGAAUCGGGCGACGUUAUUUUCAUGACUCGCUCGGCGCCUUAUG